GGGGGGAGGCCAGAUCCUGGGCUGUGUCCCCGCUCCCUGUGCUCCCGGCCUGCGCUGUUGCAUUCGCGCUCCCGCCGCGCAGCCCCCU
Molecule: microRNA precursor, 88 nt
Filed under: Canis lupus familiaris (dog)
Lineage: Eukaryota; Metazoa; Chordata; Mammalia; Carnivora; Canidae
Also listed under: 1 other name
Description: mir-8799 microRNA precursor family
Rfam family: mir-8799 microRNA precursor family
Source: Rfam by way of RNAcentral